UUCUUUCGCAACCCACGCAUCCCUCCCCGCCCGCCCGCACGACCGCUCCCCCACGUCGCACACGAUUACGGAAGCAGUUCCCAGUAGAAGCUCCAUCGCCGAGGUGGUGGAGGGCAGCUGGAGGUGGAGGGGGGCGGCGGCAAGCUUGUCGAUUUCAGGAGCGACUUCUGGCGGCCGCCACCUCAUCGGUGGCUCCUGCUUCCUCUGGCGGCGGCGGCAGCUACAUGAGGAUUUGGCUUCCGCCGGUGGCAGAGGUCCCGACUCCCAUUCCCGUUCGAAUCUGGCUGGGGCGGCGGAGGUCCCGGCUCCCGUUCCCCGUUCGAAUCCGGCAGGGGUGGCGGAGGAUCCGGCUCUCGUUCCCCAUUCGAACCCAUCUUGGGCAGCGGUCCAGGCGGCCAUGGGUGCUGGUGCCACGGGCAGAUCCCGGUGGUGUUGGGUGUCUCCGUGGCGGCCAAGUCCAGGGUCUUCCUCGGCGGCCCAGCGUCAGGCCAGCCCGGGUCUUCCUCGGUGGCCUCACCUUCUCCUCCAGCGUUGUACCCUGGCAUCCUUAUAUGUGGAGGUGGAAGAUGCCCUGCAGUCAUAAGCAGGCACCACCGGCCAUGAUUUCUCCUGGUAACUGUGCACAUCCUCUGCAAAUCACAAGCUCCUGUGCUCCAAACAGGUCAGGUCCUCUGAUUUCCCCUCCCUAUAAUCCCCAUGGCGACGGACCCUUGCCUCCACUAUCAAUUUGUGCUGCCACCCUCACCUUGCCCCCUCUUAUUUUAUUUAUCCAUAUCUAGUUUUAAUAGAUUUCAGUAUCCAUCUGGUCCGUGCAAGGUUCACAACUUAAUUUUAGGUUUGUAGUUCUGAUUCAAUAAGAUUUGACUAAUUCUUGGAGCACUCCCGUGAAGAAAAUCCUGGUUCCAUGGAUAUAGCAGUAUUUAAAUUUUAAUCCCGUUUCAGCUUAGUCCAUUUCUUUUAUUGUCAGCGAGUUCAGAUCCUCAGAUCUACUUCUAUUACGUACAUGAUUAUGCCGAUCCGUGUACCUGUACAUCUUGUAGAAUAAGACUGUAUGUUUGUUCUAAUCUUGUUUUACAAUUCCUGCUGAGAUCUUUAUGAUCUACCUAAUGAGCAGGACAUGAAUAUGGGGCAAGCAUACUUGUAAAAUUUAUGUUUUCAUAUUCACACCUGGCAUAAAAAUUUGCAAUCAUGCUACUUUAGUUGCAAAUGCUCGAGUUCUUUAUGGUUUGAAAAACAAGGACGUCUUGUGAUGCAAGACUGCACAGAAUUAAAGUUUCAUGUUCAUAAAUGGCAUCAUAUGCGAAUAGCACAUUUGCAAAUAAGUUGUGUCUUUACAGUUUACAAAAAUAUAAAGUUCUUGCUAUGUUGCAUUGCCAUAGAAUUUAUUUUUUUGUGUUCGCACAUGGCAUUAUUUGCGAUCAGGUUACUUUAGUUGUAAAUAGUUGAGGUCUUUAUUGUUUAUAAAAUAACAAUUUGUUAUAGCUGCUAGAUUGCAUAGAAUUAGUUUUUUAUGUUCGUACAUGGCAUUAUUUACUAUCAGCAUAUUAUUGGGAGCAAAUAAUUGAGGCCUUUAUGGUUUAAGAAAUAGAAUGAUCAUCUUACAUCUAGCCCCAAAAUCUUUGUCCCCAAAAUUGAUAUUCAUACUGAUCUCUAGUUCAUCGGUAGAAUCCCCAAAUUUUACUUCUAUCUACAACUUUGAAUCCCUUAAAUCCUUUGAUGGCACUGUUCAUUUUUAAAUGGCAUUUGUGGGUAUAUAUAUGCUGGGUUGGUGAUGGACUAUAUAUUGCUUAAAGGUUUGAUCUGAUUAGGAUUAUUACGGAACUUCAGUGUUCCAGAUUUCUGCCAUUUAAGUACAUCACUGAAUCUUGUAAUUGCUGAGUGUUAUCUCAUGGAUCUAUGGCAAUAGUUCACUCAUAUGGAUAGAUUACCACUUCUUGUAUACGCCACUUUUGAGCAUUUGUCCUCUAUUGAUUGAUUCAUGGCCCUUACAACAAAGCAUACUGAAUUUAGUAUGACACGUGAUGUUGGUUUCAGAGAAUAUUAUUUUUAGACUGAUGGAUGACAUGCAUUUAGUAUUUAUUUUCUCCAUAGUAGUAUAUCCAUAGCCCUCGAAAAAGAGUUUAUUUGUCACGAAAGAGAAUAUUAUCAGCUACUGGCUAAAUAAUCUCAAGGUAAAAUAUCUUAGCUGGUGAUUAUUGUUGUAACAUAUUUUAGGUAAAAUAGUUUAUUGGUAAAUAGUUUUGCUUUUGCAGAAUGGAUUGACUUGUCUUGAAUCUGCAUUCAGAUGCAAGGAAUGUUGUGAUUUGCUGACUGAAAUAACAGGGCUUCUUUUCUAAUUGAACCUAUUGUUUCUCUAAAUCUGGAUGAUAAGUAUGAACCUAUUACAUCAGGAUGUGAGCUAAUGACCACAUGACUCCUCAAAUAGAUUAACAUGACUCAAAUUGUUACACUGCAAUGGAAUGAUGACCUGAAAAUGCACACACUGUCAUCGUGGUGAAGUACCUUGUGUCCCUUUGCACCAAUGUUGCAUAGGCGGUGUGGGGCGUUCCUUCUCCCACUCAAAUACCUGAAUCUGUGUUCUUAAUCCUGGUGAUUAUACAGUCUUUUGUAUGAGCAGGAUGCUCCUAGUUCUCAGGCACUCCAUCUUAAUCGUAGUAUAUGCAAUCCUUUCUAGCACUGCAUUCUGAUAUGAUCAAGAUCAUUAUGAAGUUUUUUUCACAUAUUUGAUUAUUUGUGAUAAGCUAGGAAACUAAUCCAGUGCUUGAUUGUCUUAUUUUCUAUUAGGCUAUUGUGACUUUGGCCGCAUGUAUUAUUUAUGGCCACACCAUUUUAGUUUU
This is a long non-coding RNA of Panicum virgatum (switchgrass), 2837 nucleotides long. RefSeq lists it as uncharacterized. The transcript is spliced from 4 exons. The record is from RefSeq and is a predicted model, not a curated record. Lineage: Eukaryota; Viridiplantae; Streptophyta; Magnoliopsida; Poales; Poaceae.